GAUGAACGCUAGCGGCAGGCCUAACACAUGCAAGUCGAGGGGCAGCACAGAAACAGCAAUGUUUUGGUGGCGACCGGCGGACGGGUGCGUAACGCGUAUGCAACCUACCUUUAACAGGGGGAUAACGGAGAGAAAUUUCCACUAAUACCCCAUAACAUCGAUCAAGGCAUCUUGAUUGGUUGAAAACUCCGGUGGUUAAAGAUGGGCAUGCGUUGUAUUAGGUAGUUGGUGAGGUAAUGGCUCACCAAGCCUACGAUACAUAGGGGGACUGAGAGGUUAGCCCCCCACACUGGUACUGGGACACGGACCAGACUCCUACGGGAGGCAGCAGUGAGGAAUAUUGGCCAAUGGGGGCGACCCUGAACCAGCCAUGCCGCGUGCAGGAAGACGGCUCUAUGAGUUGUAAACUGCUUUUAAACAGGGAUAAAGCACAGUAUGUAUACUGUGUUGAAGGUACUGUAAGAAUAAGGAUCGGCUAACUCCGUGCCAGCCGCCGCCGUAA
RNAcentral lists this ribosomal RNA (502 nucleotides) under uncultured bacterium. Its description in RNAcentral is "partial 16S ribosomal RNA". It matches the Rfam family "Bacterial small subunit ribosomal RNA", at positions 28 to 523 of the family's 1533-position model. The record is from RNAcentral.